RNAcentral lists this ribosomal RNA (465 nucleotides) under Vreelandella stevensii. RNAcentral's name for it is "partial 16S ribosomal RNA". It matches the Rfam family "Bacterial small subunit ribosomal RNA", at positions 338 to 795 of the family's 1533-position model. Lineage: Bacteria; Pseudomonadati; Pseudomonadota; Gammaproteobacteria; Oceanospirillales; Halomonadaceae. The record is from RNAcentral.
CCUACGGGGUGCAGCAGUGGGGAAUAUUGGACAAUGGGCGAAAGCCUGAUCCAGCCAUGCCGCGUGUGUGAAGAAGGCCUUCGGGUUGUAAAGCACUUUCAGUGGGGAAGAAAGCCUUGGGGCUAAUACCCUCGAGGAAGGACAUCACCCACAGAAGAAGCACCGGCUAACUCCGUGCCAGCAGCCGCGGUAAUACGGAGGGUGCGAGCGUUAAUCGGAAUUACUGGGCGUAAAGCGCGCGUAGGCGGUCUGAUAAGCCGGUUGUGAAAGCCCCGGGCUCAACCUGGGAACGGCAUCCGGAACUGUCAGGCUAGAGUGCAGGAGAGGAAGGUAGAAUUCCCGGUGUAGCGGUGAAAUGCGUAGAGAUCGGGAGGAAUACCAGUGGCGAAGGCGGCCUUCUGGACCGACACUGACGCUGAGGUGCGAAAGCGUGGGUAGCAAACAGGAUUAGAUACCCGAGUAGUC